UCGUGGUGCGAGGAUGUGGCCGCUGUCUUCUGACCCAGGAAAACAGCCCGAGGACGGUGCGAGGAUGUGGCUGCUGUCUUCUGACCCAGGAAAACAGCCCGAGGACAAGGCCAAGAGGUGAAUUCUUGCCGUCUUCCCUGCACAAUUUGUUUGCGCCAUCAGAGAGAAGAUACUGCAUGCAAGAAAAAAGAACAGAGUGAAACAAAAAAGGAGCAUUCUGAAGCCAAAAUGAAAUUCUUGGAAA
Neomonachus schauinslandi (Hawaiian monk seal) is the source of this 244-nucleotide long non-coding RNA. RefSeq lists it as uncharacterized. NCBI's taxonomy places the organism in Eukaryota, Metazoa, Chordata, Mammalia, Carnivora, Phocidae. The record is from RefSeq and is a predicted model, not a curated record. The transcript is spliced from 3 exons.